RNAcentral lists this ribosomal RNA (442 nucleotides) under uncultured bacterium. RNAcentral describes it as "partial 16S ribosomal RNA". It matches the Rfam family "Bacterial small subunit ribosomal RNA", at positions 338 to 795 of the family's 1533-position model. The record is from RNAcentral.
CCUACGGGGGGCAGCAGUAGGGAAUCUUUCACAAUGGGCGCAAGCCUGAUGGAGCAACGCCGCGUGCAGGAUGACGGCCUUCGGGUUGUAAACUGCUUUUAUAAGCGAGAAAUAUGAUGGUAACUUAUGAAUAAGGAUCGGCUAACUACGUGCCAGCAGCCGCGGUCAUACGUAGGAUCCGAGCAUUAUCCGGAGUGACUGGGUGUAAAGAGUUGCGUAGGUGGCAUAAUAAGUAGCUGGUGAAAUCUGGUGGCUCAACCAUUCAGACUAUUAGCUAAACUGUUAAGCUCGAGACCGUUAGGGGUAACUGGAAUUUGUAGUGUAGGAGUGAAAUCCGUAGAUAUUAGAAGGAACACCAAUAGCGUAGGCAGGUUGCUGGGACGGUUCUGACACUAAGGCACGAAAGCGUAGGGAGCAAACGGGAUUAGAUACCCUAGUAGUC